GAUUUAAGAGGCUAAGAGUACAAAUUGGAGCUCAAGUUUGUUGAUUCUUUAAUCUCCAAUUUCAUUAAGGUAAGAAUACCAAUUUUUUUGGCAAACUCUAGAUUUUAAAUUGGAUACUUGAGUAAGGAUUAAUUGUGAACAUGAUUAUGGUGAUGAUAUAUUAACUUGAAAGAAUGGAUCUAUGGAAUAGGAUGUAAAUUAGAUUGGUGCAAGUGGGAAUUCAAGUUUCACUAGAUUAGAAUAAAGAAUUGUUUUUAUGUUUGGGAUGUAGGUAAUUAUGAUAAUUUAAAGAUUAGUGAAAUGCUAGAAGGUAGAAUUUGUUUCAAUUGUGAAGGAAACUAAAGAAUAUAUUCAAGUGCUGAAAAGUCAAGUUCUAAUAUUUCAUAAUUAAAUGUUAAGAGAUACUUAGUAUGGGAGUUGUUAAAUUAGUUAUUUUACAUCGUAUUUCAGGUGAUGACGUGAAAGUUUUACAAGGCUGGUCAAUUUGACCGGAUUGUUAUCCAUAGAUCUGUGAGUGGAGAAUCUACAUUUCCAAAAAAGAAUAUUUUCUUUUCUAUUUUAUAGAAGCAUAUUAAUUACAUGAGAUGCCUUAUUUUCGAGAAUUAGUAAAUGAGCAUGAUUGUUUUGAAAUUAUCAGAAAAUAAUUGAUGUGAUUAUUUUACUCUAGUGCACUAAGGGGCUACAGCCGUGUACUAGAGUCAUGUAUUUAACUCUUAUCCACUGAGGGGCUACGACCGUGGAUAAAGGUGUCCAAUAUACACUGAGGGGCUACAGCCGUGUGUAAGGGUAACUCUUAUCCACUGAGGGGCUACGGCCAUAGGUAAAGGUAUCUAUUAUGCACUGAGGGGCUACAGCCGUGUAUAAGGAUGAUUAUGUUGUUUCCAUCUUGUACACUGAGGGGCUACGGCCGUGUACAUAGUAUUGAUCAGACGGUUCAUGUGCAUAUCAUUUUAUAGCUUUCAGAUCAUUAGUAGAGGUUUACAUGGGGUAUAUUUUAAUGUGAAUUUAAGUAUAUAGAUUAUUAGCCUUCAGCUUACAUUUCCCCGUUGACAGUUCAAUUUAUGGAUUUCAGAUUAUAAGGUUCAAUUUAUUCAGUUCUAAGAAUAAAGCUUCCGGCUUAUAAUAUUGAGCAACAACAAUAUUCCAUAGAUUUUCAUGAAUGCUAGAUUAUUUAUAUUCAUUAUACUUUGCAGUUACUUGUCUACAAUUAAGAAACAAGAAUUUUAUAAUGCAAUCAUGCUUAGUUUAAAAGUGUUGCUAGAUUUAAGCAUUUCCCAAACAUUUAAUAGAGCUAGAAUUUUCAGGAAGUAUGCAUAAAUGGAAAAGUAUACUUAUUUUCAAUCUAUCCACUCACUGAGUUACAAUCUCAUAUUUUGUUACCCUUUUUCCUUAUCGGAUAGCAGCUGAGUUGAGUAAUAUUGGAGCCUGUCGAUCUAUUGAAUUGAGCCACACGUCAUUAGUUGUAUGGUCUACUUUAUCAGAUUAGGUAGUACCUGUUUCUUAGGUUACAUGUAGUUUAUGUUAGAAAAGGUCGUUAUGAGAUCACUAUAUGGUAUAUUUAGUACAUUUGAGGAUUGUUGAUAGUAAAGCAAGAAAAUUUCAAAUUGUCUGUAUUUUAUUUUGAAUAAUUUGGAUUUUGAGGCACUGGAGUACUUGUUUUAUAUUAUAUGUAUUGAGUUGAGGAAAUUGAUUAUGAAUCAGGUGUUUUAGUCCAUAUUUUAGAGGAG
This 1727-nucleotide long non-coding RNA is filed under the name Olea europaea subsp. europaea. The record is from RNAcentral. Lineage: Eukaryota; Viridiplantae; Streptophyta; Magnoliopsida; Lamiales; Oleaceae.